This 2157-nucleotide unclassified non-coding RNA is filed under the name Owenia fusiformis. RNAcentral describes it as "misc RNA OFUS_LOCUS23836". Lineage: Eukaryota; Metazoa; Annelida; Polychaeta; Sabellida; Oweniidae. The record is from RNAcentral.
UACCAAACGAAACGACAUCCGGAUAGGUAAAAGGCCGAACGCCGAAUACAUUGAAAUUAUUGUUAACGAGGAACGUUCCGGGUAUCACGUUCGCCCUUGGUUAGAUCGUUUUACUCGAGUCUCUAGCCAAUUCUUAGUGGCCAUAGAAUAUGGUAAAGAUCGUUGUUCUAUCAUCUCUAAAUUAUUAAACAUAAGGAGACUGCAUAUCGUCUCUUGAGUCUUGAGGAAGAUGACGAAAUAUCAAGUGGCAUGACCUAGACCUGACAAAUAUUGAUUUCAUCGAAAAUAUUAAGUUGUAUUAGGACAAGGACAUUAAUUUAUGAAAAACUUUUCGUAGAAUAACAACAAAAAGCAUUUUGUUAGUGGCAGGAUACGUGCAAUAUACCGUACCAGAUUUCGGCAGCAGACAAGGAAGUGAACUUGUUGUGUUGGAUCUGUGUAUGCUUUUGUAAUGAGCGUGGUGGAGCUUUUCAUUGAAUCGAGGACAAAAACAUUUGAAAUCGAAUCAGACGUUACUGGAAGCUAAGAUAGAUAAGAUGGGUCAAAAAGGAAGCAAGAGUACUCCUCCCCAAAAUAGAAACGUACAGCAUCAACGAGGAAACACGGGGUAUCCUAAACAACCUACACAACCUGCACAACAGCCUGGGAAUCCAGCACAACAAUCUGCAGGAACGCCUUAUUCGUACAGGAACAACUUCGAUUCGACAUUGACCAAAAUCUGUGAAGAAAUACGUGGUCGAAUGGACAAUGGUCUCACCGCCGUGGACAAUAAGUACGCAGAAGGAGCAUUUGAAGUGGUCCAGUGUUUUCUGAUUGGCUUGUUGAAGAGGCAAAAGGGGCAAUAUGGCUCAGGCAUUGGUAUCUCGAAAUCUGGUAGUUUCUAUGAAGGGAUGACCUGGGGAGAUUCAUACACGUUUAAAUACAUCAUCGGAUUGGAAGAUGUUGGGAAGGCUAUCGUAAAGUUGCAAAAUGCCCCAGAGCCCGGGUUCGUUGACAUUGAUCUUGAAACAGGCAACAGUGCUGGUGGUUCCAUGCAAAACAUAAUCAAUGCACUUACCAAAUCAACAGCAGAUGAAGCCAGUGGGGCAUUUUGGAAAGAUGUGGAAAUGGUUGUAAAUAACCUUCAACUUCCGCAAGGUUGGGUACCACGAGUGGACACUCUUCUAAAAUCCAGCUUUAUAAUAGAUGGCGCCUCUGUCUCCCUUUUAUAUACCGUGAAGCUUCCACAGUGCCCGAAGCCUGCUCCAAUUACAAUCAACCUGACCAUAGGCAUCCCUUUACCAGCUCGCCAUUUUCCAACUCAAAUUGACAUCCUUCAGAGGAUGCCACGUGACCAUCCCAUGUAUGACAUGAUUGUCGACAUCUUGCGAUCCUCCGAGAUCUUCGUAUUGGUGGAAAACAAGAAACUGAAGUUAUAUUUAGCCAGCGUUGUGACAAGUAUUUUUCAAAGAAUGCCUCAUUUGAUCAAAAGUGCGUACCUUACCCUGCGUGCAUUCCGGGAUAAGCAGGCCACAAGUGUCUUUAGCAUGGGAAAAUUACCGAGGUACGCAACGUCUUCAUAUAUUCUGAAAACCUUGUUCUUACACGAGUUGAUCACUAACCCGGACGGUAACUACUGGAGCUUGGCUAAAGGCAUCGAACCAAACCCGCCACAUACUCGCGACUUCAUGGCCGAUCGUUUGAUGAGCCUACUGCUCAGAUGGUCAAAAGCGUUAAAAUCGGUAAACCUGGCCAAUGUUUUCAUAUCUUCAGCGAACGUAUUGUCACCGACUGAAGAUUAUGAAGAUGAUGAUGAUUUUCUAGAUGGCCAACUCCAUCAAGUGUUUAAAAGCAGCGUCCCAGAUAUAUACAAUACUGUUAACGAGUCACAGAGAAGAAUGGAUCAACUUCAAGAACGUAAUGAGUACAGAGUACCCGCCAACAAUGGGUUCAAUCAAACAUCAACGGUCGUGCAAUGGAUGUUCUUAGAUGAGAACUUUCGCAAAGGGAGAACAUUUCAGUACACACACGCCAAACUGACAGUUCAGUAAGGACCGGAAACUUUUUCUCUCAUUUCUACCAGUACUACCAGGAUGAGGAAAUCGUCAUCCUUUUUUAAUACCAAACAUUUUAUAUCUGGCAACAUACGUCAUUCAAGUCCAACAAGGCCCCGUAGAA